Long non-coding RNA from Pseudophryne corroboree (corroboree frog), 164 nucleotides. RefSeq lists it as uncharacterized. The record is from RefSeq and is a predicted model, not a curated record. The transcript has 3 exons. NCBI's taxonomy places the organism in Eukaryota, Metazoa, Chordata, Amphibia, Anura, Myobatrachidae.
GACCGCCUCGUUAUUGAUACCGAGCCAGAGGAGGAGGAGGAGGAAAUGGGGGAGCCUUCAGGCCAGCCUGAUGUCACUUACCUGUACGUGGACUCUGAGUCGGAGGAGUAUAUAAUUAUUGACAGUGAGGAGGAAGGGGAGAAAAAGCCCUCUCCCCAACUUGG